Molecule: ribosomal RNA, 1361 nt
Filed under: uncultured bacterium
Lineage: Bacteria
Description: bacterial SSU rRNA
Rfam family: Bacterial small subunit ribosomal RNA
Source: RNAcentral
AUUGAACGCUGGCGGCAGGCCUAACACAUGCAAGUCGAGCGGUAGCACAGAGAGCUUGCUCUCGGGUGACGAGCGGCGGACGGGUGAGUAAUGUCUGGGAAACUGCCUGAUGGAGGGGGAUAACUACUGGAAACGGUAGCUAAUACCGCAUAACGUCGCAAGACCAAAGUGGGGGACCUUCGGGCCUCAUGCCAUCAGAUGUGCCCAGAUGGGAUUAGCUAGUAGGUGGGGUAACGGCUCACCUAGGCGACGAUCCCUAGCUGGUCUGAGAGGAUGACCAGCCACACUGGAACUGAGACACGGUCCAGACUCCUACGGGAGGCAGCAGUGGGGAAUAUUGCACAAUGGGCGCAAGCCUGAUGCAGCCAUGCCGCGUGUGUGAAGAAGGCCUUCGGGUUGUAAAGCACUUUCAGCGGGGAGGAAGGCGUUAAGGUUAAUAACCUUGGCGAUUGACGUUACCCGCAGAAGAAGCACCGGCUAACUCCGUGCCAGCAGCCGCGGUAAUACGGAGGGUGCAAGCGUUAAUCGGAAUUACUGGGCGUAAAGCGCACGCAGGCGGUCUGUCAAGUCGGAUGUGAAAUCCCCGGGCUCAACCUGGGAACUGCAUUCGAAACUGGCAGGCUAGAGUCUUGUAGAGGGGGGUAGAAUUCCAGGUGUAGCGGUGAAAUGCGUAGAGAUCUGGAGGAAUACCGGUGGCGAAGGCGGCCCCCUGGACAAAGACUGACGCUCAGGUGCGAAAGCGUGGGGAGCAAACAGGAUUAGAUACCCUGGUAGUCCACGCCGUAAACGAUGUCGAUUUGGAGGUUGUGCCCUUGAGGCGUGGCUUCCGGAGCUAACGCGUUAAAUCGACCGCCUGGGGAGUACGGCCGCAAGGUUAAAACUCAAAUGAAUUGACGGGGGCCCGCACAAGCGGUGGAGCAUGUGGUUUAAUUCGAUGCAACGCGAAGAACCUUACCUGGUCUUGACAUCCACAGAACUUAGCAGAGAUGCUUUGGUGCCUUCGGGAACUGUGAGACAGGUGCUGCAUGGCUGUCGUCAGCUCGUGUUGUGAAAUGUUGGGUUAAGUCCCGCAACGAGCGCAACCCUUAUCCUUUGUUGCCAGCGGUCCGGCCGGGAACUCAAAGGAGACUGCCAUUGAUAAACUGGAGGAAGGUGGGGAUGACGUCAAGUCAUCAUGGCCCUUACGACCAGGGCUACACACGUGCUACAAUGGCAUAUACAAAGAGAAGCGACCUCGCGAGAGCAAGCGGACCUCAUAAAGUAUGUCGUAGUCCGGAUUGGAGUCUGCAACUCGACUCCAUGAAGUCGGAAUCGCUAGUAAUCGUAGAUCAGAAUGCUACGGUGAAUACGUUCCCGGGCCU